RNAcentral lists this non-coding RNA (267 nucleotides) under Pteridomonas danica. Lineage: Eukaryota; Dictyochophyceae; Pedinellales. The record is from RNAcentral.
GAAGAAGAACCUAUUGAUAUAUAUUGUUGUUAGAUGGAAAGAGAAUAUUGUCAAAUAUUCUUUUGUGUUUUCUAUAAACACUUUUGAACAAAAAAGAAAAACAAACAAAAACAAAAACAAAACAGAUCUUCCACUCACAUAUAUCAUUUUAUGUUUUUUCUUUUUUUGUUAAAUCCUUAUUUCUCUUUUAUUAUAUUUAUAUAAAAAAAACAAAAAAGGUUCACAUUUGUAUUUGUUUGGGUCCCUACAGUAUUAAAGUUUGCGCCA